Molecule: long non-coding RNA, 419 nt
Filed under: Hordeum vulgare
Lineage: Eukaryota; Viridiplantae; Streptophyta; Magnoliopsida; Poales; Poaceae
Description: long non-coding RNA (HVUL_LNC018057)
Source: RNAcentral
UUGAAAGGUCUGGCCAUAUGCAGGAGCCAAUGGAGAUGUUCUCUCAUUUUUACAGACAUAUGUUUUUCGUAUUUUUAAUUGGCAAGAAGAAGAGUUUCACGGAUAAGAUGUUUUAUUUAGCAGAGUACAAUCGAAGUCGCACACAUACACAAGCAUACACUCACCCCUAUGAACGCACGCACGCACACCCUACCCCUAUGAGCAUCUUCGAGAGACUAAGUCGGCACAUCAUCUUGAGAUUGACGAAGUCGCCACUGACGCCUUCGUUGUCGACGGAAACGUCUCCUCCCACUGAAAGCACAUCGCCGAAAGACCUGGAAUAAAUCCAGGAAAAUGCAAGCACCAACAUCAAGUCUGAGACUUGAACUCUGGUGGGCAGGGGAUACCACAGUCCUCCUAACCAUCCAACCACAGGUUGG